UACGUAGGGUGCAAGCGUUAAUCGGAAUUACUGGGCGUAAAGCGUGCGCAGGCGGUGAUGUAAGACAGAUGUGAAAUCCCCGGGCUUAACCUGGGAACUGCGUUUGAAACUGGAAGGCUAGAGUGUGGCAGAGGGGGGUGGAAUUCCACGUGUAGCAGUGAAAUGCGUAGAGAUGUGGAGGAACACCGAUGGCGAAGGCAGCCCCCUGGGCUAACACUGACGCUCAUGCACGAAAGCGUGGGGAGCAAACAGG
RNAcentral lists this ribosomal RNA (253 nucleotides) under uncultured bacterium. Its description in RNAcentral is "partial 16S ribosomal RNA". It matches the Rfam family "Bacterial small subunit ribosomal RNA", at positions 524 to 776 of the family's 1533-position model. The record is from RNAcentral.